GAUGAACGCUGGCGGCGUGCCUAAUACAUGCAAGUCGAGCGAACGGACGAGAAGCUUGCUUUUCUGAUGUUAGCGGCGGACGGGUGAGUAACACGUGGAUAACCUACCUAUAAGACUGGGAUAACUUCGGGAAACCGGAGCUAAUACCGGCUAAUAUUUUGAACCGAAUGGUUCAAAAGUGAAAGACGGUCUUGCUGUCACUUAUAGAUGGAUCCGCGCUGCAUUAGCUAGUUGGUAAGGUAACGGCUUACCAAGGCAACGAUGCAUAGCCGACCUGAGAGGAUGAGCGGCGACACUAGAAGUAAGACACGGUCCAGACUCCAACGGGAGGCAGCAGUAGGGAAUCUUCCGCAAUGGACGAAAGCCUGACGGUGCAACGCCGCGUGAAUGAUGAAGGACUUCGGAUCGUGAAACUCUGUUAUUAGGGAAGAACAUAUGUGUAAGUACCUGUGCACAUCUUGACGGUACCUAAGCAGAAAGCCACGGCUAAAUACGUG
This 497-nucleotide ribosomal RNA is filed under the name uncultured bacterium. RNAcentral's name for it is "partial 16S ribosomal RNA". It matches the Rfam family "Bacterial small subunit ribosomal RNA", at positions 28 to 507 of the family's 1533-position model. The record is from RNAcentral.